CUACGGGGUGCAGCAGUGGGGAAUAUUGGACAAUGGGGGAAACCCUGAUCCAGCAAUGCCGCGUGUGUGAAGAAGGCCUGCGGGUUGUAAAGCACUUUCGGUUGGGAGGACUGCUUCUAGCACUAAUAUUGUUGGAAGUUGACGUUACCUUCAGAAGAAGCACCGGCUAACUCCGUGCCAGCAGCCGCGGUAAUACGGAGGGUGCGAAGCGUUAAUCGGAAUUACUGGUCGUAAAGCGCGCGUAGGCGGCUAGAUCAGUCGGGUGUGAAAGCCCCGGGCUUAACCUGGGAACUGCAUCCGAUACUGUCUAGCUUGAGUACAGGAGAGGAGAGUGGAAUUCCACAUGUAGCGGUGAAAUGCGUAGAUAUGUGGAGGAACACCAAUGGCGAAGGCAGCUCUCUGGCCUGAUACUGACGCUGAGGUGCGAAAGCGUGGGGAGCAAACAGGAUUAGAUACCCGGGUAGUC
RNAcentral lists this ribosomal RNA (466 nucleotides) under uncultured bacterium. RNAcentral describes it as "partial 16S ribosomal RNA". It matches the Rfam family "Bacterial small subunit ribosomal RNA", at positions 339 to 795 of the family's 1533-position model. The record is from RNAcentral.